CGCUGGAGUAUGCAAUACUACUCCUCCGGGAGCAGCGCUGGAGUAUGCAACACUACUCCUCCGGGAGCAGCGCUGGAGUAUGCAACACUACUCCUCCGGGAGCCAGAGGGGAGGGAGGAAAAGCGCCGUGAAACAGAACAACACAAAAACAGCCAAAACCAAUAUUCAGGAGCACGAGCUGCAGACUUUCUUCCUCACACUCAGUAGCACAGCUGCCAGUGGGCUCCCGCCCGAGGAAAUGGUAGAUUUGGCGUCUGCUGUAGUGCUGUGGUUUUGGCAGGAGGCCAGCGGCGGCUCCGCUUGCUUGUGAAUGGGGCUGUGUGGAGCAGGAGCAGUAGCAGGAGCGGUAGCAGGAGCUGCUGAUGUGAGCUAUGACUCAGCCUAGGCCUGCGCUGCUGUCAACACGCUGGAGUGGAGGAGAAGGGCCCGAUACAGAGUACUGGAGUUGGGAUUGGAUCUUAUUCCUCCAUAUGAAUAUCCAUCCUGACUUAAAACAUCUAGAGAUCUGAGGGGAAUGUACUGCUUCUAACGACUUGCUUUCUUUUCUUUUUCAGUUGGAAUCCGGAGGUGAAGUCGAAGUGGAGGAGUUUUAUGUCAAAUUCAAGAGUUUGUAAGUGCUGAAUGUCUUGAUGUAUAUGAAAUGUAGCACUCUUUCUAUUGAAGGAUAUUUCAAUUUGUUAAUCUGAUUUCAACCAUCAUCGGCUUCAGCACAGAUGCCAUUGCCUUUUGCAUUGUGGUAGUUUUCAGUGUUUAGUUGUGUCAUUUCUGAGACUGAUGGAAGUUUACAGCUUUCAGUGGCUCACACUGAAGUGGCCACUUUUGACAAUCAUCCAUCUCGAUGCCUGUUUGCAGGGGUUGUUAUGUGUUUAGAUAUAUAUAUAGAGAGAGAGAGAUUCAGUGGCAACUAGGAAUGGCAGGCGUGUAUGUCUAAUUGAUUGCUAAAACUAGUUGUGCCUGACAUGUUUCUUUGACAAUUACCCUGAAGGAAAAAAAGAUAAUUUCAUUUGAGUGAUGCUUGAGUUUUGAAAGGAACUAGAAUGACUCACGCCAACGUAGAUUAUGGAAUGGCUUGAUUUUGCUGCUCUGCCACUAGGGCUGAACGAUUCAUUGCAUUUGCGAUUCAAUCGCGAUAUGAUGGAACGCGAUUUUCUAACCGCAACGUUCGCGAUUUAAAAACGUGGUCUUUCUUUUCUUAAAAUUUUUGCACAGUGUUUAAAAAGUGCAUGCCUUGUGUUUAUUCUUUCAAUUACUUUGUUUAAAUUACUUAAAUGCACAGUGGCAAAGCCACCUAUGUGUUGUUUUUGAUUCUGUAAUGAGCAGUUAAAUAAAAAUGUAAAAUGUGGGAAAUAAUAUUUUACACUAAAUGUAUCUAAUAUUGUGUAGGUCAUAUUUAAAUCAUUCAUUACGAUUUGUUGGGAAAAAAAUUAGGAUAAAAUAAAAAAAAAUUGCAUAUUAAAUCGCAAUCGCAAUAUUGGGGGGGAAAAAAAUCGCAAUUAAAUUUUUUCCCCCAAAUCGUUCAGUCCUAUCUGCCACCAUGAAGCAUAUAUAAAGUGAGGAAGAAGACUUUGUGUGUAGAAUGGAUGUGUCUGGUGUGGUGGUGGAUCUGUGCUUAUGUGGUGGUGGAUCUGUGGUGUAUCUGUGCUGAUGUGGUGGUGUAGCUGUGGUGGAUGUGUGUUGAUGUGGUGGUGUAUCUGUGGUGGAUCUGUGUUGAUGUGGUGGUGUAUCUGUGGUGUAUCUGUGUUGAUGCGGUGGUGUAUCUGUGGUGGAUCUGUGUUGAUGUGGUGGUGUAUCUGUGUUGAUGCAGUGGUGGAUCUAAUGAUGUGGUGGUGUAUCUGUGUUGAUGCGGUGGUGUAUCUGUGGUGGAUCUGUGUUGAUGCGGUGGUGUAUCUGUGCUGAUGUGGUGGUGGAUCUAAUGAUGUGGUGG
Long non-coding RNA from Clupea harengus (Atlantic herring), 1924 nucleotides. NCBI's taxonomy places the organism in Eukaryota, Metazoa, Chordata, Actinopteri, Clupeiformes, Clupeidae. The record is from Ensembl.